Molecule: ribosomal RNA, 815 nt
Filed under: uncultured bacterium
Lineage: Bacteria
Description: bacterial SSU rRNA
Rfam family: Bacterial small subunit ribosomal RNA
Source: RNAcentral
AGAGUUUGAUCCUGGCUCAGAACGAACGCUGGCGGCGUGGAUAAGACAUGCAAGUCGAGCGCUGAUUACAGGGUAGCAAUAUUCUGUAGUCGGAGCGGCGCAAGGGUGCGUAACACGUGGGUAAUCUGCCAUGAAGUUUGGAAUAACUUGCUGAAAGGCGAGCUAAUACCGGAUGUGACAAUAGAGAGGCAUCUUCCGAUUGUCAAAGCUGGGGACCGUAAGGCCUGGCGCUUCAUGAUGAGCCCGCGGCCUAUCAGCUAGUUGGUGAGGUAACGGCUCACCAAGGCUAAGACGGGUAGCUGGUCUGAGAGGACGACCAGCCACACUGGAACUGAGACACGGUCCAGACACCUACGGGUGGCAGCAGUCGAGAAUUUUUCACAAUGGGCGCAAGCCUGAUGGAGCGACGCCGCGUGGGGGAUGAAUGGCUUCGGCCCGUAAACCCCUGUCAUUUGCGAACAAAUUGGUUCAAUUAACACCUGAACCAUUGAUAGUAGCGAAAGAGGAAGGGACGGCUAACUCUGUGCCAGCAGCCGCGGUAAUACAGAGGUCCCGAGCGUUGUUCGGAUUCACUGGGCGUAAAGGGUGCGUAGGUGGUGAGGUAAGUCGGAUGUGAAAUCUCCAAGCUCAACUUGGAAACUGCAUUGGAAACUACCUUGCUCGAGGGUUGGAGGGGGGACUGGAAUGCUUGGUGUAGCAGUGAAAUGCGUAGAUAUCAAGCGGAACACCAGUGGCGAAGGCGGCUCACUGGCCCGAUACUGACGCUGAGGCACGAAAGCGUGGGGAGCAAACAGGAUUAGAUACCCCCGUAGUCC